Molecule: ribosomal RNA, 234 nt
Filed under: uncultured bacterium
Lineage: Bacteria
Description: partial 16S ribosomal RNA
Rfam family: Bacterial small subunit ribosomal RNA
Source: RNAcentral
UGGCGGACGGGUGAGUAAUGUCUGGGAAACUGCCUGAUGAGGGGGAUAACUACUGGAAACGGUAGCUAAUACCGCAUAACGUCGCAAGACCAAAGAGGGGGACCUUAGGGCCUCUUGCCAUCGGAUGUGCCCAGAUGGGAUUAGCUAGUAGGUGGGGUAAAGGCUCACCUAGGCGACGAUCCCUAGCUGGUCUGAGAGGAUGACCAGCCACACUGGAACUGAGACACGGUCCAG